RNAcentral lists this ribosomal RNA (440 nucleotides) under uncultured bacterium. Its description in RNAcentral is "partial 16S ribosomal RNA". It matches the Rfam family "Bacterial small subunit ribosomal RNA", at positions 338 to 795 of the family's 1533-position model. The record is from RNAcentral.
CCUACGGGUGGCAGCAGUCGGGAAUAUUUCUCAAUGGGGGAAACCCUGAAGCAGCAACGCCGCGUGGAGGAUGAAGGUUUUCGGAUUUUAAACUCCUUUUGUUAUAGAAGAUAAUGACGGUAUCUAACGAAUAAGCACCGGCUAACUCCGUGCCAGCGGCCGCGGUAAUACGGAGGGUGCAAGCGUUACUCGGAAUCACUGGGCGUAAAGCGCGCGUCGGCGGGAUAGUAAGUCAGAUGUGAAAUCCUAUGGCUUAACCAUAGAACUGCAUUUGAAACUGUUAUUCUAGAGUAUGGGAGAGGUAGGUGGAAUUCUUGGUGUAGGGGUAAAAUCCGUAGAGAUCAAGAGGAAUACUCAUUGCGAAGGCGACCUGCUAGAACAUAACUGACGCUGAUGCGCGAAAGCGUGGGGAGCAAACAGGAGUAGAUACCCGAGUAGUC